AGAUUGAACGCUGGCGGCAGGCCUAACACAUGCAAGUCGAGCGGCAGCACGGGUACUUGUACCUGGUGGCGAGCGGCGGACGAGUGAGUAAUGCCUAGGAAUCUGCCUGGUAGUGGGGGAUAACGCUCGGAAACGGACGCUAAUACCGCAUACGUCCUACGGGAGAAAGCAGGGGACCUUCGGGCCUUGCGCUAUCAGAUGAGCCUAGGUCGGAUUAGCUAGGUUGGGUGGGUAAGUAGUCGUCACCAACGG
RNAcentral lists this ribosomal RNA (252 nucleotides) under uncultured soil bacterium. Its description in RNAcentral is "partial 16S ribosomal RNA". It matches the Rfam family "Bacterial small subunit ribosomal RNA", at positions 26 to 273 of the family's 1533-position model. The record is from RNAcentral.